GAGUUGAUCGAUCUAAAGUUUGUAAACCGGAAGCUUUUACUAAACACGAUAGCGAUCCUAGGGUGGAGAAGGAAGAGUUGCAGAUCUGGAUGUCCGCUCUAACUAAAGCCACCAAGUUACCUCCACAUCGCUGGGAUCAACAAAAUUACGAGGACGAUGCCAAGCUUAUUGAGGACAUUGUACAACAUAUUGGAGCCUGCCUGCACAAAUGAAUCGGCUUCACCGUUUAACAUAUUUCAAAUGGGACAUGUAUCACCAAGUGCGUGUGUAUUUUUGUUUUGGCGGAUGAUUUCACAGUUUGUAAUUGCCUCUGUAGGGUUUAUACUGUUACACAGAACAGUCUCUUUUGAUCAUUCAAAGGUUAUUUCUCUAAUAAACUUGUCAGCAGAUCAUACAUAUUAUUAUGUGUCAUAAAUGUGACAUAUCAUA
RNAcentral lists this small RNA (429 nucleotides) under Malus domestica (apple). RNAcentral describes it as "sRNA MD01G0154900". The record is from RNAcentral. Lineage: Eukaryota; Viridiplantae; Streptophyta; Magnoliopsida; Rosales; Rosaceae.